UACGUAGGGGGCAAGCGUUGUCCGGAAUCAUUGGGCGUAAAGAGCGUGUAGGCGGCUCGGUAAGUCCGCUGUGAAAGUCCAGGGCUCAACCCUGGAAUGCCGGUGGAAACUGCCAAGCUGGAGUACGGUAGGGGCAGAGGGAAUUUCCGGUGGAGCGGUGAAAUGCGUAGAGAUCGGAAAGAACACCAACGGCGAAAGCACUCUGCUGGGCCGACACUGACACUGAGAGACGAAAGCUAGGGGAGCGAAUGGG
Molecule: ribosomal RNA, 253 nt
Filed under: uncultured bacterium
Lineage: Bacteria
Description: partial 16S ribosomal RNA
Rfam family: Bacterial small subunit ribosomal RNA
Source: RNAcentral